Molecule: ribosomal RNA, 271 nt
Filed under: uncultured prokaryote
Description: partial 16S ribosomal RNA
Rfam family: Bacterial small subunit ribosomal RNA
Source: RNAcentral
CACGGGGGUUGCGAGCGUUGUCCGGAUUUACUGGGCGUAAAGGGAGCGUAGGCGGACUUUUAAGUGAGAUGUGAAAUACCCGGGCUCAACUUGGGUGCUGCAUUUCAAACUGGAAGUCUAGAGUGCAGGAGAGGAGAAUGGAAUUCCUAGUGUAGCGGUGAAAUGCGUAGAGAUUAGGAAGAACACCAGUGGCGAAGGCGAUUCUCUGGACUGUAACUGACGCUGAGGCUCGAAAGCGUGGGGAGCAAACAGGAUUAGAUACCCGGGUAGU